Long non-coding RNA from Mustela erminea (ermine), 697 nucleotides. RefSeq lists it as uncharacterized. The record is from RefSeq and is a predicted model, not a curated record. The transcript is spliced from 2 exons. NCBI's taxonomy places the organism in Eukaryota, Metazoa, Chordata, Mammalia, Carnivora, Mustelidae.
GGGCCGCCCGGCCUCACCUCCGUGCCCGCCCCGUCGGCCCUGGCCCGCCCCCGCUGCCUGCGCGCCCCGCGCCGUCCGUCCGAGCGCACGCGCCGUCCCCCGGCGGGGCCCGCGGCCGGCCCCUCCCUCCCCGCGCGGCCGGCGAGGGCUGCGGGGUGGGGGGGGGGGGCGCGGCCCCGGGCUCGGGAGCGUGCACCGUGCACUGCGCACUGGCCCCGGGCCGGACUCUGGGCAAAGCCGCUCCCCGGGGACCGGCGGGCGGGGGGAGGGGGCGAGCCUGGACGCGCUGAGGUUCCACGAGGCAGGAUGUGCCGUGGUUCCCGAAGUGUGGGUUUCCUUAUCUGUCCUCUUGACGGACCUCUGGGCUGUUCCAGUCUCUUGCGACAGAGCGUCCGGAAACACUCCUACCGCGGCCUCGCGGGCAGCCCAAUCGAGGGAUGUUGGUCCAGCUCUCCCAGGGCACCGGCAGCGUUAGAUGCUGUCAGUCUUUUCAGUGUUGGCCAUCCAGUGCGCAUGCACUAGCUGUCACCGGAGUUUUCUCUGCGUGUGUCUGAUGCUUCACGAAGGUGACCAUGUUUCAUGCACUCGUUGGCCACUUGAAUAUCUUCUUUUGCAAAUUGUCUGUUCCACUCUAUUGCUAAUUAAAAAACAAAACCACGUUGUCUUAUCAUUGAAUCACGCAUUCUUUAUAUAUUUG